AGGGUUAUUGACUUAUUGUCUGUUCUCAACUUCUCCAUGGACACGUACUCUAGCCAGUAUAGAUCCGUCGCCAAGGGGCCGAUAAGGUUCGAAAGUGAGGCUGCUGUGGAGGCCUUCAUCAAGAAGAGCUCAAGGCCCCGGAUGUCUGUUGAAGGAUUCAACCCUUACCGACCUGAGGAUGAAAUCAAGAGAGAAUUGGUUAAUCACUUCGAAUCAUGUGGCGAAGAAUUUAGGGUUAUUGUUCCAACAGACCCCAUUGUCGACAGUACGUGCUUUUGUUAUUCUUCUUGGACAUGGCGCAGAAGAGAAAGUGUUGCAACUUAAUGGAAGUGACAUCGGAGAUUGGAAUGCCCUUGUUAAGGCUGCACCCGAAGAAGAAGAGGAGGAAUACC
This is a long non-coding RNA of Brassica napus (rape), 392 nucleotides long. RefSeq lists it as uncharacterized. The transcript has 4 exons. The record is from RefSeq and is a predicted model, not a curated record. Lineage: Eukaryota; Viridiplantae; Streptophyta; Magnoliopsida; Brassicales; Brassicaceae.